RNAcentral lists this unclassified non-coding RNA (234 nucleotides) under plant metagenome. RNAcentral's name for it is "partial contains small subunit ribosomal RNA, internal transcribed spacer 1, and 5.8S ribosomal RNA". The record is from RNAcentral.
UUUCCGUAGGUGAACCUGCGGAAGGAUCAUUAAAGUUAUAGUCCCCUGGCCCUCUGGGCUGGGGUCUUCUAUACCACCCUUUGUUUAUUACACCUUUGUUGCUUUGGCAGGCCUGCCCUCGGGCUGCUGGCUCCGGCCGGCUCGCGUCUGCCAGAGGACCUAAACUCUGUUUGUAUAUGAAGUCUGAGUACUAUAUAAUAGUUUAAACUUUCAACAACGGAUCUCUUGGUUCUG